RNAcentral lists this long non-coding RNA (303 nucleotides) under Solanum tuberosum (potato). RNAcentral describes it as "long non-coding RNA (STUB_LNC004104)". Lineage: Eukaryota; Viridiplantae; Streptophyta; Magnoliopsida; Solanales; Solanaceae. The record is from RNAcentral.
GGGGGGAGGGGGCCUGGUUUGGUGAUAGGGAUAGAAAUAUAUUUGAAAUUUUAAAAAUAAGAAAAUUUUAAUAUUUUUUUUUAAUGGGAAGGGUGGGUUACGGGGUAUGAUUAGGGUAAGAAAAAAAUUAAAGGAUGAAGUAGAGUUUUGGAAAAUGUUUUCCUUAGUUUUGGAAGAGAAGACAUUUUCCUUAAAUUUGUGGAAAAUAAGUUUAUUUGGAAAAAAAAUUUCAAACAUUUAAGCCAACCAAAUAUGGGAAAAUUGGAAAAUAUUUUCCGGAAAAAGUUUUCCUCUAUACCAAAC